UUGGAAUUCUUCACACAAAACUGCCAUUCAUAUUACGAUGUUUCACACAAACACAAACUCAUUCUCUCUGCUGAACUACAAUCAGAUUUCAGCAUUCAAUCUUUCUUCUUCUCAAAUAAUACCAAUCAUAUUUCCAUUCCAUAAUUCACUUUACAAUAUUCAGAAACUCUCAAUCCUCUUAUUCAAAGAAAAUAACAAACAAAAGAAAAGAGGUAGCAUCAAGCUUACCUUGGCUCACA
This 239-nucleotide long non-coding RNA is filed under the name Physcomitrium patens. RNAcentral describes it as "long non-coding RNA (PPAT_LNC013179)". Lineage: Eukaryota; Viridiplantae; Streptophyta; Bryopsida; Funariales; Funariaceae. The record is from RNAcentral.